This is a long non-coding RNA of Zophobas morio, 2360 nucleotides long. RefSeq lists it as uncharacterized. Lineage: Eukaryota; Metazoa; Arthropoda; Insecta; Coleoptera; Tenebrionidae. The record is from RefSeq and is a predicted model, not a curated record. The transcript is spliced from 2 exons.
AAAAGUUACUACAUUUAGCAAUAAACAGAAGAAAAUUUAUGUGAACUGGGAUCUCAAAAGUAAAAACGCUAUGGUUAUAAAAAAUCAGAUUUAGCAAGAUUUUAUACUUGUAAAAUUACUUUAUCUUAUCCACCAUGUAUAGUAAAUUUUGACAAGCAGUAAUGGUUAAAAAUUAUUCCUACCAUAAUACUAUGUUAUAUUAGUUUAUAAUCCCGCAUUAGAAACGAAUGUCAUACGCUAUUUUGUGGUCGAAGUAGCUAUAAUGGAACCUCAAUUCCAAUUUCAAAUCUCAAUUCUAUUUUCAUUUAUAAUAACAUAACAAGUGAUAUGAUUAUUAUCGAUAAUAUUUCGAGUGAAACCGAAAUCUGCAGAUUCAACGAGUGCGAAGUACGAGUUGAAUGUGCUGCUUGGGUUUCACGAACCAUAUCUUCGAUUAUUAAUCAUAUCACGAGUUAUAUUCAGAUAUAAUAUAACAAGUGAUAUGAUUAUUAUCGAUAAUAUUUCGAGUGAAACCGAGCUGCAGAUUCAACGAGUGCGAAGCACGAGUUGAAUGUGCUGCUUCGGUUUCACGAGCCAUAUCUUCGAUUAUUAAUCAUAUCACGAGUUAUAUUCAACAUGAGAAUAUAAUAAAUGAACGCAUUUUUUGAUAAUAGAGUUCAUUUCGUCGUUUUGAGCUUGCCUCCAACGUUGGCAAGCCAUAAAAGACAAAAAAAUUUAUGAAAUUCUAAAAUUCGUCAAUUUGACAGUUUUUAAAUUUAGGUAGCAACAGACCACAAUAAGGCAAUAAAAUUAUUAUCGCUGUGAUAGACAUGUAACUAAGGGCAUGAACAAAUUCUAUUGGAAGAAAUGGGGUCAUGUGAUACAUGAAUUAUAUUCUCAGUUUAAUAAAAAUAAAAAUGACAAUUUAUGACGUUUUUUCAAACAAUUUCAAUGUUUCGUGAAAAAUCCCUAGUGUACUAUUUUGUUUCCAUGACACCUCUUUAUGGCACUAUAAAUCGUGUAAUAAUGAAAUCGUGCCGUAAUGUGACGGAUUAUAAACAAAUUGUAGUGUGACAAAAGGCAAUUAUCAGACUACUCGACCACAAAAAAUAUUAUUUGACUACAUUGUAACAUAGGUAAUGCGCUUGCCAAUUGGACGUAAGAUUACCGUAAUAAUAUAAUAACAUAUUCUUAGUAACAUCAAAUAUUUUUUCUAUGUUUAGUUCGUAUUAUUCUAAUACAGUGUGAUUAAUUUAUCUGUUCACGCCACACAUUUUACUUUCCAUAAACGACUUCGUCUUAAUUUAAUUUAAUUAAUAAAUAACGUGUAGACAGCAAUAAUUGGUCCAAAAUUAUGAUAAAUUAAUCCUAGCAGUCAAAUUAUUUUCAACUUUUGCUAACAGUGUUUUCGAAUUCCGAAAAAACCACCGAUAUGCUUUUAACUUUUGGAAAAGUCUGAUGGAACUUUCGAUGCUGCCGUUCGUCUACAUGUCAGAUGAUACAAUUCCUUCUAACCAAGCAUUUAGAAGGCUCGAAAAAAACUUACGAGCAGUUGAUCAAUUUAAGAAAACUAAAGUUAGACGUCCUACAAUGAUAAAUCCUCACCGUGUGUCAACGGCCGAUCGCAAGACAAAUGCAGAUUAUUCAGAGUUCGGUUUUUAACAUCCUGAGGGCAAAUCGAUUUCACCCAUGCCGUUUCAGCCUUUCCAAUUCAAAAUCAAGAUCUUUUGCGCGAAGAUAUUUUGAGGACUUAUUAUAGGAUACCUAUUUAUUUAUUUUCUUUUCUUUAUAUUCGUUUAAGGAGUGAAGAAAUUACGUUCUAUUUUAUUUGAAUUUUGCCAUUAUUAGUUCCUUGAGGUCAUUGUUGUUGUUGCAUUUACUAUGAUUGCUAAUUUAAAAAGAUUAAUAGACUGAUCAAAGUUGCUUAAGAUAUGUGUAAUCUGUGUGCCUACACGAAAGUUUUAAAGAUAAAAUAAUCACCCUGUUAAAUAUGUAGUAAUAUUUAUAAUAUAUUCGAGAAAUCUUAUAGAAUUAUAUUUAUUUUAAAAUGUUAAACACAUGCUCAUUUUUCAUGAGAUGUGUUAUAUAUUUUUUUGAAAUGUAUAAUUUGAUGAUGAGGCAAAUCAUAUAUCUGUUACUCUGAUUAUCAUUUUUGUGCACAUGUUUCAGUAGCAUCUCUAGUAGUCACCUUAGAAGUUAAGAUCACGUAACAUAUGUAUGAGGCAAAUGAACGACAUUAAUUUAAAAAAAAAUGGAGCAGUUUGUACGAGUAUUGUUGAAAUGAAAAUGAUCUUUAUUACAUAUUUAAAAAUCUGUCGAAAAUAUGUUACGUACAUAAAUAUUGUGUUUUACAUAUUUAAUAAAUAUUUUGUGCUACUGGG